UGGGGAAUAUUGGACAAUGGGCGAAAGCCUGAUCCAGCAAUGCCGCGUGAGUGAUGAAGGCCUUAGGGUUGUAAAGCUCUUUUACCAGGGAUGAUAAUGACAGUACCUGGAGAAUAAGCUCCGGCUAACUCCGUGCCAGCAGCCGCGGUAAUACGGAGGGAGCUAGCGUUGUUCGGAAUUACUGGGCGUAAAGCGUACGUAGGCGGUGACUCAAGUCAGAGGUGAAAGCCUGGAGCUCAACUCCAGAACUGCCUUUGAAACUAGGUCGCUAGAAUCACGGAGAGGUGAGUGGAAUUCCGAGUGUAGAGGUGAAAUUCGUAGAUAUUCGGAAGAACACCAGUGGCGAAGGCGGCUCACUGGACGUGUAUUGACGCUGAGGUACGAAAGCGUGGGGAGCAAACAGGAUUAGAUACCCGUGUAGUCCCUGAGCGGGCUGGCAAGGCGCAU
This 447-nucleotide ribosomal RNA is filed under the name uncultured bacterium. RNAcentral describes it as "bacterial SSU rRNA". It matches the Rfam family "Bacterial small subunit ribosomal RNA", at positions 355 to 825 of the family's 1533-position model. The record is from RNAcentral.